This 423-nucleotide ribosomal RNA is filed under the name uncultured bacterium. Its description in RNAcentral is "bacterial SSU rRNA". It matches the Rfam family "Bacterial small subunit ribosomal RNA", at positions 355 to 794 of the family's 1533-position model. The record is from RNAcentral.
UGGGGAAUCUUGGACAAUGGGGGCAACCCUGAUCCAGCCAUGCCGCGUGAGUGAUGAAGGCCUUAGGGUCGUAAAGCUCUUUCGCCUGUGAAGAUAAUGACGGUAGCAGGUAAAGAAACCCCGGCUAACUCCGUGCCAGCAGCCGCGGUAAUACGGAGGGGGUUAGCGUUGUUCGGAAUUACUGGGCGUAAAGCGCACGUAGGCGGACCAGAAAGUUGGGGGUGAAAUCCCGGGGGCUCAACCCCGGAACUGCCUCCAAAACUAUUGGUCUAGAGUUCGAGAGAGGUGAGUGGAAUUCCAAGUGUAGAGGUGAAAUUCGUAGAUAUUCGGAGGAACACCAGUGGCGAAGGCGGCUCACUGGCUCGAUACUGACGCUGAGGUGCGAAAGUGUGGGGAGCAAACAGGAUUAGAUACCCUGGUAGU